AUCAUACAACUAACCUACAAUGACUCCAUGGAGGUUCUCCUCCCUACCGUACAUUUGAGGAACCCACAUAUGUUAACCCCAAAUAAGAAAGGAAGGAAUCAUACCCCCUUAAAUUGGUUUCAAGCCAACAUCAUAACCAUUAUGUCUUUCUCCACAAGUGAGAUAUUAGUAAAAAUUGUGUAACUUUGUCAAAGUUAAAUUACAGGUGAAACCCCCAUAUAUCUCUAUGGCAUAUCCCUUCCAACUAGGAUUCCAAGAUGCAACUUCCCCUAUUAUAGAAGAACUAUUAUACUUCCACAACCAUACCUUAAUAAUUGUGUUUAUAAUUAGCUCCUUAGUUCUAUAUCUUAUGUCUUCCAUAUUAACAACUCACCUAACCCAUACAAGCACAAUAGAUGCCCAAGAAGUAGAAACUACCCGAACAAUCCUCCCAGCCAUCAUUCUAAUUACAAUUGCCCUCCCAUUCUUACAAAUCCUA
Phyllostomus discolor (pale spear-nosed bat) is the source of this 478-nucleotide long non-coding RNA. RefSeq lists it as uncharacterized. The transcript is spliced from 3 exons. The record is from RefSeq and is a predicted model, not a curated record. Lineage: Eukaryota; Metazoa; Chordata; Mammalia; Chiroptera; Phyllostomidae.